This 449-nucleotide ribosomal RNA is filed under the name uncultured bacterium. RNAcentral describes it as "partial 16S ribosomal RNA". It matches the Rfam family "Bacterial small subunit ribosomal RNA", at positions 29 to 523 of the family's 1533-position model. The record is from RNAcentral.
AAUGAACGCUGGCGGCAGGCCUAACACAUGCAAGUCGAACGGGUCCUUCGGGACUAGUGGCGGACGGGUGAGUAACGCGUGGGAACGUGCCCUUUGCUACGGAAUAGCCCCGGGAAACUGGGGGUAAUACCGUAUAAGCCCUACGGGGGAAAGAUUUAUCGGCAAAGGAUCGGCCCGCGUUGGAUUAGGUAGUUGGUGGGGUAAUGGCCUACCAAGCCGACGAUCCAUAGCUGGUUUGAGAGGAUGAUCAGCCACACUGGGACUGAGACACGGCCCAGACUCCUACGGGAGGCAGCAGUGGGGAAUCUUAGACAAUGGGGGAAACCCUGAUCUAGCCAUGCCGCGUGAUCGAUGAAGGCCUUAGGGUUGUAAAGAUCUUUCAGGUGGGAAGAUAAUGACUGUACCACCAGAAGAAGCCCCGGCUAACUCCGUGCCAGCCGCCGCAGUAA